GACGAACGCUGGCGGCGUGCCUAACACAUGCAAGUCGAACGGGACCGGGGGCAACUCUGGUUCAGUGGCGGACGGGUGCGUAACACGUGAGGAACAUGACCUUCGGCGGGGGAGUAGCCGGCCCAACGGCCGGGUAAUACCGCGUACGACCACAUGGGGACGAUCCCUGAGUGGUGAAAGCAGCAAUGCGCCGAUGGAGUGCCUCGCGGCCUAUCAGCUAGUUGGUGAGGUAACGGCNCACCAAGGCGACGACGGGUAGCUGGUCUGAGAGGAUGGCCAGCCACAUUGGGACUGAGACACGGCCCAGACUCCUACGGGAGGCAGCAGUGGGGAAUAUUGCGCAAUGGACGAAAGUCUGACGCAGCGACGCCGCGUGUGGGAUGACGGUCUUCGGA
RNAcentral lists this ribosomal RNA (395 nucleotides) under uncultured bacterium. Its description in RNAcentral is "bacterial SSU rRNA". It matches the Rfam family "Bacterial small subunit ribosomal RNA", at positions 28 to 422 of the family's 1533-position model. The record is from RNAcentral.